CCGGAGGUGUAAGAGGAGCAAUCCUUUGAGCUGACCGGUACUAAUAGCCCGAGGGCUUGUUCACCUAUAAC
This 71-nucleotide ribosomal RNA is filed under the name Chloroflexota bacterium. RNAcentral describes it as "Chloroflexi bacterium partial 23S ribosomal RNA". Lineage: Bacteria; Bacillati; Chloroflexota. The record is from RNAcentral.